CGAGAGCGCACCACCCAACAUCCAUGCCUCGGCUACAAGUAUAGUAAUCACCUGCAAGCCGGUGAAGAGAAGGUCCACGUCAUCAGAAAACAGCCAUGUUAGGAGAGAGAUUACGGAGCGGGUGCUAUUCUCUUCGCCCGACUGUAGCGCACCAUACGAGAAAAAUGCCCUCUUCCAGCCCGAUGCGAGCGAUAAGCCGGCGCUUCAUUCUCCCGUCUCUUCCCUUCCUGAUCCCGUGCUCCGCUUCCCC
This 250-nucleotide long non-coding RNA is filed under the name Setaria viridis. RNAcentral's name for it is "long non-coding RNA (SVIR_LNC000895)". The record is from RNAcentral. Lineage: Eukaryota; Viridiplantae; Streptophyta; Magnoliopsida; Poales; Poaceae.